AAACUUUCAACAACGGAUCUCUUGGUUCUGGCAUCGAUGAAGAACGCAGCGAAAUGCGAUAAGUAAUGUGAAUUGCAGAAUUCAGUGAAUCAUCGAAUCUUUGAACGCACAUUGCACCCUCUGGUAUUCCGGGGGGUAUGCCUGUUCGAGCGUCAUU
Molecule: ribosomal RNA, 157 nt
Filed under: Calluna vulgaris root associated fungus
Lineage: Eukaryota; Fungi
Also listed under: 2 other names
Description: 5.8S ribosomal RNA
Rfam family: 5.8S ribosomal RNA
About the family: 5.8S ribosomal RNA (5.8S rRNA) is a component of the large subunit of the eukaryotic ribosome.
Source: RNAcentral